RNAcentral lists this ribosomal RNA (267 nucleotides) under uncultured bacterium. Its description in RNAcentral is "partial 16S ribosomal RNA". It matches the Rfam family "Bacterial small subunit ribosomal RNA", at positions 86 to 354 of the family's 1533-position model. The record is from RNAcentral.
UGCCGGCGACCGGCGGACGGGUGCGUAACGCGUAUGUAACCUACCUUUGACAGGGGGAUAACAUCGAGAAAUUGGUACUAAUACCCCAUAACAUCACCGGAGGCAUCUUCGGUGGUUGAAAACUCAGGUGGUCAGAGAUGGACAUGCGUUGUAUUAGCUAGUUGGUGAGGUAACGGCUCACCAAGGCGACGAUACAUAGGGGGACUGAGAGGUCAACCCCCCACAUUGGUACUGAGGCACGGACCAAACUCCUACGGGAGGCAGCAG